This is a long non-coding RNA of Carya illinoinensis, 2865 nucleotides long. RefSeq lists it as uncharacterized. Lineage: Eukaryota; Viridiplantae; Streptophyta; Magnoliopsida; Fagales; Juglandaceae. The record is from RefSeq and is a predicted model, not a curated record. The transcript is spliced from 2 exons.
UGGUACCUCUAUACGAUACCAAAAUAUUUCAUUUAUUUCAGUACUUUACCUUAAUUAAAAUGGCUACUGAAACGAUAUUUAAAAAUUUGCUUGUAACUCUUCCUCAUCAUUAAAUAUUGAAAUAUUAUUGGAAGCAGCCCCUGUUUGGGAGCAACCGGCGCACACCUUACGUGGAUCUGGUAAAAGACCAAAUUGUCCCUCCAGCUUUCCCCGUUCCCUCCCUCUAUGUUUCCAUUUGAUUUUUGAGAAAGAAACAGGUCUUCGUAUUCGCUCCUCUCUCCUGAGUCUCCCCCGAACCUGUGUCGGUUCCAUCCCCCCACCAGGUAGCUCAGGCCACUCUCCCCUUCGUAUGAGCAGAUCGUCUCCCACAAACUCCCCCUCAUCUUGCUCAUCCUCAUCCUUUCGUCUUCUCCGAUCUCAGCCCUCGAAGCGAAGCACCCACCAAGCUGAACCCUCCCCACCACAACCUCAGCCCUUCCGAGGAGAUCAGUCCCCAAGCGGUCCCUAACUUCACCAACGCGAAGCCCUCAGUCCAUUCGACGCGAAGUCGCCGUCAGUCCUUCGAGACAAAGCCGCCCUCAGUCCAACGACGCGAGCUCGCCCACAGUCCACCGACGCAAGGAGGGGGGAGUCCACCUACGCGAAGACGAAAUCAGACCACCAACGCGAAUCCUUCAAAUCUCCUGGAAGGUAAACAGAUUUCUAGGGUUUCGACAUACAUGUUUUUUUUGUCUAUUUACUUCAUUAUUUUUCUCUGUAUUUGCUAGAAAGUAAUGGUGAGGGGCUGUGGAUGUUGCCGAUGUUGCCUCUCAUGGCAUACAUUUAUCUUUUUUCUCUCUGUGACAACGAAAUAUACUUCAUUUAUCUAGAAAAUUACAGAUAACAAAGGUUGUUGUGCAAGUUUUUUUCAGGAACAUCCAAUUCCAAACAGAAUAAACAGAGGGAAUUUAUUACUCGCCAUCCAGGUUAUGAUAUCAAGCUCCUCCAUCGCAUACGAUUUUACUUAUCAGAAAAAAGAAAAAAAGCUCCUUCAUCACAUACUGAAAAUCUUAGGUUAGGAUUGAUAUUUGAAGUUUCUUACAUUCAUGUGUAAUUUAUGAUAAACUAUUACACCAUUAAUAAAAUAAAAGCACAUAUGGCAGUUGAUAUGUGUAAUUCUCAUAUCUGAAAAAUGUAUCAUUUAUGUUGUCUAAUUUCUAAUUGUUCUUUCAGAAUACGUCUUAGACCUCUGUUAUGGUAGUUCUAUGUUUUAAUUUUUUGAAGGUUAUUAGUUUGGUAAUUCUGGUGGAAAAAAACAGUUCAAAAAAUUAUCUCAAUCGCAUUGAUUACUUCUUUGGUGUACUUGAGUUGAUUUUAUAAGUAAAACCAAUGCAUAUUUGGCUAAUAUGUAAACUCAUUUGCGAUAUUUUGUUUUAGCUUUAACCCAAGAGUUGAACUCAAAAUCCAACCAUUUCCCUACACUUGCCGCUUGUCGUUUGGUAGCAUGGUAGGAUCCCUUUAACCAUAAUAUCAAAGUGGACUUGAAUUUUGAUUAGCUGUUGCAAUUCUACCAACUUUGGGUUUAAAUAGUUUUGGUUUGCAUCUGUUUCUGGUUUGAGUAGCACAAUUCUUGCUAAAAGCAUAUAGUUUGUUUUUUCUUCUGCACAUACACAUACAAUUAAUCCAUUAUUAAAAAUAUCAUCGAAUAGUAAUGUUUAGUUUCUGAUUUUGGUAACAUAAAAUUUUAAAAUAAGCCAUUUCAUUUUGUACUUUGUGACACUUUUGUUUCAACCCAUUCGUGUUUAAACAUUAUCCAAAGAAUAUCAUUAUUAUAUUUUUGCUAUCCUCCCUCUUCAAAAGCAAAAGAAAAUAAGACUUUGACACAACACGUACCCAUGUCAACACUAGUAAAUAAGCUACAGUCGCCAUCUACAUCAGUCCCUUUUUUAACUAUAUGAGACUCGGUUUAACUUUGUCCGUUAACUACCUGAAGUUGACCCCCGAAACCAUAGGUGGCAAAAAUUCAUUACGGACCUAGGUGCCCCUUUUACAGAACUAGCUUUGAAGUUUCUUUCUAGGCCUUCACAUCUAGUUUUCUAAUGAACUCUUUCGUGUGUAUUUCGACGCUUAAGACAAUAUAUAACAGGAAGUACACAAAACCUGCAGUCAUAUCUUUUUCCUCGCAUUCCAUGUGUAUCAAUUGAUUCCAUUAUAUGCUGAAGAUGCUUGGUAACAUGGGUUCUCUUUUCCUAGUUCAAAAAUAUAAUUUCUUGCUACAGCACCCUGAGUUCGACUUCUCAGAAGCACAAAUUUUCAUUGGUUUUUCAGAAUCAGUCAUGUCAGCAUCUCAAUCAUCAUCUUUACUUAAUGAUUUUGUAUUGGAAUCUCCAACAUGUUGGUGUGGUUUGAAAACACCACAAAAGACAUCUCACACAUCAAAAAAUCCUGGAAUGCGAUUUUUCGCUUGCCCAAACUAUAAAACGGGAGAAGCAAGGUGUGAAUUUUUGUAUGGGCCGAUAUACUUCAUUUGCUAGAGGAAAACUUUCAUGCCCGUGAGAAUAAGGCAAGAACUAUUACGUGGAAUGAUGUAUUACAACGCGAGUAUGCCGUUCGGAAAAGGGAAGAUAAAGUGAGAGAAUCAGCAAAGAAUCUAAAAAAGCAAAAGCGAAGACUUUUGCUUUUGUACUGGAUUCUGACAUUUGUAAUUGUGUUUAUUUGGUUCGGAUAAAUUCUAUGUGAUGUACGGUGUAUGGAUUAGAUGGGUUUUGCAUGGUUUUUUUGAAGUGCACAUGGUUUGGACCAAGACCAUGGAUGUAAAUUGUAUGGUGUUAACCUCACCGUGUAAAGAAGAACUUUUGUGCAAUUAAAUUGACUUUGUAGAGUUUA